ACGCUCGACACCUACGGGAGGCAGCAGCGGGGAAGUAAAUGCACAAUGGGGGAAACCCGUACGAUGCAGCGACGCCGCGUGAGCGAAGAAGUAUUUCGGUAUGUAAAGCUCUAUCAGCAGGGAAGAAACUGACGGUACCUGACUAAGAAGCACCGGCUAAAUACGUGCCAACAGCCGCGGUAAUCUGAGCGGGCUGGCAAGGC
This 203-nucleotide ribosomal RNA is filed under the name uncultured bacterium. RNAcentral's name for it is "partial 16S ribosomal RNA". It matches the Rfam family "Bacterial small subunit ribosomal RNA", at positions 328 to 539 of the family's 1533-position model. The record is from RNAcentral.